Molecule: long non-coding RNA, 2800 nt
Filed under: Nicotiana benthamiana
Lineage: Eukaryota; Viridiplantae; Streptophyta; Magnoliopsida; Solanales; Solanaceae
Description: long non-coding RNA (NBEN_LNC030338)
Source: RNAcentral
GUUCACCUUAUUAUAUAAUUGUCCUAAUGAGCCUACUCCCUUCAUUGUCUCUCUCAACCCCCCUCUCAAAGACUCAUACUCCAAACCCUAGCACAACCCUGAAAUUUCCCUCCCUUCCGAUGGUGGCGCCUGUCCCAAUCCACCCUGAAUCAAUACCAUGCAACCUCCAAGACCCCUUCAUUCCAAAUCCCCACUUAAUUUCCUUAGAAUCUUCCUAGAAGCCCUCAAAUCUUAGAUCUGAAUUCGAGCCCUAAAAGUUCAAAAUCAGUUAUGGUCAAAUCUGAUAGCAUGCAUCGACCCAGAAUUUCUCUUCUCAUGUUUGAAGGCUGACCACUACAAAACUGAUGCCAUUCAUUCUUUCUUGAAAGAGAAAAACGACUGGUAUCAUUUUUGUGUGAAUCAAGAUAUCAAGUAUCAUUUCGAGCUUGGCCAGUGAGUUUCAUUGCAUUUUUGGGUCCGUUUCUAGUUUUAUUUUCACUUGUUGUCCUUCUUCUUUCUUUUCUUUUUCAUUAUUUGAAAUUUAACCAAAGUUUUGGCCGAGUGCGAGAUUUGUCCGUUUGGUUUUUGCUGGUUUUUUGUUUCCAAAUCUGUUCUCCGAUCCUACUAGAUUUGUUUAAUUUUCUUUUGAUUAAAUAGCAUAGUUAAUGUUCUAAUUAGUCACCUAGUCAAUUUAAGUAGGUCUAUUGUGAUAACUUGGUUAAUUUCUUGCUCAUUUGUCUGUAGUAAUAAGCUGAUUAGUAUAGGCUUAAUUCUCGAAAGUUUUCAAGUAUUUGCCAUUUGUUAGUUGAUUGAUUUGAUUCAGCCUGUCUUGUGUUUUGACUUUGAAGCCAUUACAGACCUCACCCCAAUGGGGGUUUGGGUUGGGUCAUUGGGUCAGAAUUGAGCCCACAUUUGGUUUCAUUAUCGGGUCCACUUGACCCAUUAUUUUCUGAAAUAAAAAUAGGUUGGUUAAGGGGUAAUUUGGGAAUUGUAGUUGGGGAAUCUUCGAAAACUGAUUGAGGAAGCUGGGGUGGGGACUAUUUUGAAGUUCUGAAAUCUAAAGUAGGAUUUUUUGAGCAAAAAUGAAAAUAUAAAAAGGAUAUAAGUGCAAAUUAGUUCCCUUAGGCAUCCCUAAUGCCUUGCCUAUAAAAGGCACUAUUACUUGGGUUAAAAGUCAGAAAUAUUGAAGAAAAAACUCUGUAAAACUGAGACGACUGAAAAAUUUAGAUAACACUGAUUUCCCUGCAUUUUCUUUGUCAAAAUUGCCCAAAACACUAUAUUUAGUUCUGAGUUUCUGAUCCUCUUCACUAGAUAUAAUUCCCUGAAAAGUUUAGAUUCUUCAUUUGGUUGAGAGAUGGCUUGAUUUUGCGACUUUAAGCUGGGGUUGCAGUUGAUAUUUCGAAACACUGCUUCAUUGCUGGGUUUCAUCCUUAUUUUGCUGGUUGAUUUUCAAGUGGUUUUUAUUGUUGUUUCUUCCUUAUUUGAGAUUGCUACUGCUGCUAUUACUGAUCAAUUCUAUCUCAUUGGUUUUACCAUUGUUACCAGGUAUUACUCACCACUUACCUAUUUGAUAUGAGAAAUGGAAGAAUGCAAGCUACUUGAAUUGAGCUGUAGUUUAUGCUUACUAAAGCUUUGCCUAUUAGAUCGUUGAAAGUCAUUAUAUUCUAAUUAGUUUAGUUACUUGUUAAUAUGCUUGAAUCUUUCUUGCUUCAGUUUUGAUUUUAAUCUGUAAUGAUGUUUAAUAAAGGCCUUAGUCAAUUAGUCUAGAUAAGAUUGAAGUUGGUUGUUUGUAUGAAUGGACAUUUAAAGGACUACAUCAAAGGAUAAGAGUUGUUUGAUUGUAUUGAAUUCAAUGAUGUUAAUUUUGUUUAAAUCUCCUAAAAAUGUCGAGCAUUGAGUAGAAAGUCAAAAUUAUGGGUAGUUAUACAUAUCAGUAUUUGUGACAUGAAAUUAUUCCUUUAUUGAAUUAUUUAGUUGACUCAUUGGUAUUUACCAUUUGGACUGACUUAUAGAAAUGAGUCAGUCAAUUUGUAAAGGUGGAACCAUUGGGCUGGUCUCCUGAGCCUAAUAACUCAAGGGGCCAUUGUUGGACUUUUCACAUAGCGGAUUUGAUUCAAAAUGCAUGCUAAAAUAGAAUUAGAACUUUAGUUUAGUUAAUUUGUGUCAAAUGUUUUAAAUCAUAGUUUAAACCUGUCAAUUGAAUAUCAUGCUUCUGUGUUAAUGUCAAUUGUGUUUGCAUAAUUGGGAUUGGGUGUGAACUAUUUGGAUCACAAGAAUUGGGCCAAAUGUUGGCCUAUGCUGAGUAACAAUCGAAGUCAAUUACACCACUCAUGAGACUUGUUUGUUUCAUCAAUAUGGGCCCACUUGAGCCCAAGGCUGGAGGCUUUUGAUGAAUGGACCAUUUGCUUUGCUUUAUCAUAUAUGACCCAUUUCUUUUCAAUAUGGUUAUCUCUUUCGAAGUUUGCUGUUGGCCCGAGUUUUAUUCGAAGCAUUUGGGUAGUUCUGCAAUUGCAAUUAGCCGAUUUAUAAUCGAAUUGAGGCAUUUGCUUUUAAAUAAAUUCGAAAUUCCCGUUAGUUUUUUUAAUUAAUUAGACCUGUAAGUUAGUGGAGAUGAGCCAUACUAGAUAACACAAAUAGCUUAUGGCCCACCAAAGUUUAGUAGAAUCCCUUUAAAAAUUGGAAUCAAGGUGUGUUGUGCCAAAUAAAAUCUCAAAAUGCAUGGCCCUCAUUCUAUUAAUAUUUUAAUCCUUAGAAUUCGAGGCGUUCCAUUUAGCGAAUAUUUCAUGGCCCGCACAAAGUUGAAAGUGCGUAGUUGCUUUAG